GAUGAACGCUAGCUACAGGCUUAACACAUGCAAGUCGCGGGGCAGCAUGGGGGUUGCUUGCAAUCCCCGAUGGCGACCGGCGCACGGGUGAGUAACGCGUAUCCAACCUGCCCUUCACCACGGGAUAACCCGGCGAAAGUCGGACUAAUACCGUAUGUUGUCCAUUGACGGCCUCCGAUUUGGACGAAAGGCUUGGCGGUGAGGGAUGGGGAUGCGUCCGAUUAGCCAGACGGCGGGGUAACGGCCCACCGUGGCUACGAUCGGUAGGGGUUCUGAGAGGAAGGUCCCCCACGUUGGAACUGAGACACGGUCCAGACUCCUACGGGAGGCAGCAGUGAGGAAUAUUGGUCAAUGGGCGUAAGCCUGAACCAGCCAAGUAGCGUGCAGGAUGACGGCCCUAUGGGUUGUAAACUGCUUUUAUGCGGGGAUAAAGUGGCCCACGUGUGGGCUUUUGCAGGUACCGCAUGAAUAAGGACCGGCUAAUUCCGUG
Molecule: ribosomal RNA, 490 nt
Filed under: uncultured bacterium
Lineage: Bacteria
Description: partial 16S ribosomal RNA
Rfam family: Bacterial small subunit ribosomal RNA
Source: RNAcentral